AAUUGUGAAUAUAUGCUGUAUCAGCUCCCUUGUUCCUAAUACUUGGAAAUAAUUUUUUAAAAAACUGGUAAAUUUUGAUGUAAAAAGACAGAAAUUAUCAAAGGAUCAUUAGUUGAAGGACUUGGGAAAUAUCAAAAUUAGUGUCCUAGGAAAAAUUUUAAAAAUAAGAAGUACAGAUAGGCUGGGGCAUCUCCACAUGUUUUCUCCAGUUGUAGGCAUAGGUGCACUUGAGAAGUGGCAUCUUAUUGGCUGCCACCUCUGGUCGUGUGAAGGGUGGUCUUAACCCAGAAAAGUAAGUAGUUGUGUAUCACAUAGAUGGAGGUUAUGGUGUAACCAGAGAUUCCGCUGUUUUGUUGCUCAUUUUUGUCCUCUGUUUGUAAUAGACAUUGUGAGUGCAGAUCUAUUCUGCCUGCUCACACUCACUGCUCAUAUUUUAUAUUGUGUCAUGGAAAAUGUCACCUAAAAUUGUGAAACUAGUUAUGGAUAUGUUCUAGGAAUGAUGUCAUCAUCUCAAUAAAGAAAUAAUAACUUGUUUUCUUAGUCUGUAUAGAUAGAAAAGACAGCUGGCUUUAAAAUAUUUAUUUGCUAUUGAAGUCUACCUAUGUCACCUGUUUCUUAUUGGGAAGGUAGAAUAUAUUUUUUUCCUUUGCCUUAAACUUUUUUAGAUCAUCUUUUAAUGGUCACAUUUGGCUUACAGUUUUUAACAAAGGACUGAAAAGCAGAAACCAAGAUAGUUUUAUUUUUGUGAUAUAGACUUUUAGUAGUAUUGAGGGACCAUGUCAGCAAGUCUAAAACAUCACUUAAACCUUCAGGUAUGGCUGGCAUUUCUACAGAUGCACAACAUCUGAGACCCUCAGAAAGGAAGGAUAAUCUAACGGUAUAGGAAAUCUGUCUUCUCUUCCUUUCAUUUCGUGCCUUUUCUUAUGUUUGCAAAGAACAACUCUCAGUAACUAAUCUUGUGUGAAGCAUCUCUUAUUUAUAUUUUCUUUCUGAGGUAUUAAACUAUCUAGACUGAAUUUUGCUAAAUGUUAAAGGGAAGACAGUUCCUGAAGACUUUCAACACUUGCUUUUGUGAUUGACUAUACUUACGUGUCGUUAGUGCCUCCUAUGUUUGACGUCCUUUACUGGUGGUAUCAAGUGACCCUGUGCCUUCAUUCUCUUGCCCAUUUCGGUACACAUGUAAACCUGUGUUAGAAAAUCUCUGAACUGUGUGGUUUUGGAAGAGUAUACCUGAAUUCUUUUCAAUAAGAGUUUCUGGACAUGAGGGGAAAAAAUACAAUCACAUAUUUAUAAAAUAGUUGCUACCAGGAUUCUUUUUUUAAAAAAAAUGUGCGUUUCUUCAUCUGAGAAAUAUUCUUGGUCACAAGAUCAAAAAGUUUAAACAUCAUUUCAGUUUCUUCAUUGAGGAGAAAAUAAGAAUUUCAAUAACCAAUAAUCAAAGAAUAUGUUAUAAGUCACUGGACAAGCUUACAAGAAGAUACAUUCAAGGGCUGGUAUUUGUAUGAACAAUAAAUCUAGAAUAAACUGUUACAAACUACAAAUUAAAAUGGGUUUGGAGACAGCAGCAGUCUGUGGAGAGGAGCACUAUGACUAUACACAUAUUUGACGGGUUUAUAUAAGAAUUUGUGAUUACAAAUUUAAACA
RNAcentral lists this long non-coding RNA (1644 nucleotides) under Heterocephalus glaber (naked mole-rat). RNAcentral's name for it is "lncRNA (ENSHGLG00000047613.1)". Lineage: Eukaryota; Metazoa; Chordata; Mammalia; Rodentia; Bathyergidae. The record is from RNAcentral.